Molecule: ribosomal RNA, 253 nt
Filed under: uncultured bacterium
Lineage: Bacteria
Description: partial 16S ribosomal RNA
Rfam family: Bacterial small subunit ribosomal RNA
Source: RNAcentral
UACGUAGGGUGCAAGCGUUAAUCGGAAUUACUGGGCGUAAAGCGUGCGCAGGCGGUGAUGUAAGACAGGUGUGAAAUCCCCGGGCUUAACCUGGGAACUGCAUUUGUGACUGCAUAGCUAGAGUUUGUCAGAGGGGGGUGGAAUUCCACGUGUAGCAGUGAAAUGCGUAGAUAUGUGGAGGAACACCGAUGGCGAAGGCAGCCCCCUGGGAUGUGACUGACGCUCAUGUACGAAAGCGUGGGGAGCAAACAGG